GGAAGAAUAGCCUAAAGGUAAGGCAGAAGCUUGCUAAGCUUUGGAAGAAAAUCCUUAAAGGUUCGAAUCCUUUUUCUUCUA
Thalictrum thalictroides is the source of this 81-nucleotide non-coding RNA. The record is from the annotation of a GenBank genome assembly. Lineage: Eukaryota; Viridiplantae; Streptophyta; Magnoliopsida; Ranunculales; Ranunculaceae.